This 253-nucleotide ribosomal RNA is filed under the name uncultured bacterium. RNAcentral describes it as "partial 16S ribosomal RNA". It matches the Rfam family "Bacterial small subunit ribosomal RNA", at positions 524 to 776 of the family's 1533-position model. The record is from RNAcentral.
UACGGGGGGGGCAAGCGUUGUUCGGAAUUACUGGGCGUAAAGGGCUCGUAGGCGGCCAACUAAGUCAGACGUGAAAUCCCUCGGCUUAACCGGGGAACUGCGUCUGAUACUGGAUGGCUUGAGUUUGGGAGAGGGAUGCGGAAUUCCAGGUGUAGCGGUGAAAUGCGUAGAUAUCUGGAGGAACACCGGUGGCGAAGGCGCUCUGCUAGGCCGUAACUGACACUGAGGGACGAAAGCUAGGGGAGCGAAUGGG